GACGAACGCUGGCGGCGUGCUUAACACAUGCAAGUCAAGGGGGCCCAGCAAUGGGCAACCGGCGAACGGGUGCGUAACACGUGAGCAACCUACCGAAMUGUGGGGGAUAGCCGGCCUAACGGCCGAGUAAUACCGCAUACGCUUUCAGUGAGGCAUUUCAUUGAAAGGAAACCUACGGGACAKWUCGAGGGGCUCGCGGCCUAUCAGCUAGUUGGCGAGGUAACGGCUCACCAAGGCGACGACGGGUAGCUGGUCUGAGAGGAUGGCCAGCCACAUUGGGACUGAGAUACGGCCCAGACUCCUACGGGAGGCAGCAGUGGGGAAUCUUGCGCAAUGGCCUAACGGCUGACGCAGCGACGCCGCGUGUGGGAUGAAGCUCYUCGGAGUGUAAACCACUGUUGCCCGGGACGAAYAGCUCGAUUAAUCGAGCCUGACGGUACCGGGUGAGGAAGCACCGGCUAACUCCGUGCCAGCAGCCGCGGUAAUACGGGGGGUGCGAGCGUUGUCCGGAAUCACUGGGCGUAAAGGGCGCGUAGGUGGUCUGAUAGGGUGUGGUGAAAGUCCGGGGCUCACCCCGGAUCUGCCGUGCCGACUG
Molecule: ribosomal RNA, 595 nt
Filed under: uncultured bacterium
Lineage: Bacteria
Description: bacterial SSU rRNA
Rfam family: Bacterial small subunit ribosomal RNA
Source: RNAcentral